AAGACUAUAGACCUGCGGAGUACCUGCGGAGGGAUCAUUAACAAAUUAUCCAUUAUGGAUGGUUAAAAUCCAUAUCCACCUUCGUGUGCACAUCAUUGACAUGUUUGCUUUGGCAGUUGUUGGUCUUUUUUUUUUUAAUACCGACGCUGCCAGAGUUUUUCAUCCUUUUUCACCUUGACAAACUUUUGCUUUCCUUCUGGAAGCAAGUCCUUGAAAAGAAACAAAAAAGAUUAAAAUUGA
This 240-nucleotide unclassified non-coding RNA is filed under the name soil metagenome. RNAcentral describes it as "partial contains 5.8S ribosomal RNA, internal transcribed spacer 2, and large subunit ribosomal RNA". The record is from RNAcentral.